RNAcentral lists this ribosomal RNA (565 nucleotides) under Balneola sp. RNAcentral's name for it is "partial 23S ribosomal RNA". It matches the Rfam family "Bacterial large subunit ribosomal RNA", at positions 343 to 921 of the family's 2925-position model. Lineage: Bacteria; Pseudomonadati; Balneolota; Balneolia; Balneolales; Balneolaceae. The record is from RNAcentral.
UGGAAAGGAUGGCCAUAGUGGGUGACAGCCCCGUACGCGUAAUGCAACCAAUCGUCCUCGAGUAAGGCGGGACACGUGAAAUCCUGUCUGAACGUGGGGGGACCACCCUCCAAGCCUAAGUACUCGUGCAUGACCGAUAGCGAACCAGUACCGUGAGGGAAAGGUGAAAAGCACCCCGACAAGGGGAGUGAAAGAGUACCUGAAACCGGAUGCCUACAAACAGUCGGAGCGCGCAAGCGUGACGGCGUACCUUUUGUAUAAUGGGUCAACGACUUAAUGUGGCGAGCAAGCUUAAACCGAUAGGUGUAGGCGCAGCGAAAGCGAGUCUGAACAGGGCGUUCAGUUCGUCGCAUUAGACCCGAAACCGAGUGAUCUAGCCAUGAGCAGGCUGAAGGUUGGGUAACACCAACUGAAGGGCCGAACCCGUAUCUGUUGCAAUAGAUUGGGAUGACUUGUGGCUAGGGGUGAAAGGCCAAUCAAACUCGGAAAUAGCUGGUUCUCUGCGAAAUAUUUUUAUGUAGAGCGUCAGCCGAAUACUCCCGGGGGUAGAGCACUGGAUGGGUAA